Molecule: ribosomal RNA, 459 nt
Filed under: uncultured bacterium
Lineage: Bacteria
Description: partial 16S ribosomal RNA
Rfam family: Bacterial small subunit ribosomal RNA
Source: RNAcentral
CCUACGGGUGGCAGCAGUGAGGAAUAUAGGUCAAUGGGCGCGAGCCUGAACCAGCCAAGUCGCGUGAGGGAAGACGGUCCUAUGGAUUGUAAACCUCUUUUGUCGGGGAGCAAAAGACGCCACGCGUGGCGUUCCGCGAGUACCCGACGAAAAAGCAUCGGAUAACUCCGUGCCAGCAGCCGCGGUAAUACGGAGGAUGCGAGCGUUAUCCGGAUUUAUUGGGUUUAAAGGGUGCGCAGGCGGAAGAUCAAGUCAGCGGUAAAAUUGAGAGGCUCAACCUCUUCGAGCCGUUGAAACUGGUUUUCUUGAGUGAGUGAGAAGUAUGCGGAAUGCGUGGUGUAGCGGUGAAAUGCAUAGAUAUCACGCAGAACUCCGAUUGCGAAGGCAGCAUACCGGCGCUCAACUGACGCUCAUGCACGAAAGUGUGGGUAUCGAACAGGAUUAGAUACCCGGGUAGUC